This 102-nucleotide small nuclear RNA is filed under the name Pectinophora gossypiella (pink bollworm). Lineage: Eukaryota; Metazoa; Arthropoda; Insecta; Lepidoptera; Gelechiidae. The record is from RNAcentral.
GCUCGUGACCGUACAUAUACUAAAAUUGGAACGAUACAGAGAAGAUUAGCAUGGUCCCUGCGCAAGGGUGACACGCAAAAUCUUGAAGCGUUCCACAUUUUU